Molecule: small nuclear RNA, 22 nt
Filed under: Arabidopsis thaliana (thale cress)
Lineage: Eukaryota; Viridiplantae; Streptophyta; Magnoliopsida; Brassicales; Brassicaceae
Description: snRNA_06058
Source: RNAcentral
CCUAAGAUGAGCUCAACGAGAA